UACGUAGGGUGCAAGCGUUAAUCGGAAUUACUGGGCGUAAAGCGUGCGCAGGCGGUUUUGUAAGUCUGUCGUGAAAGCCCCGGGAUCAACCUGGGAAUUGCGAUGGAGACUGCAAGGCUUGAAUCUGGCAGAGGGGGGUAGAAUUCCACGUGUAGCAGUGAAAUGCGUAGAGAUGUGGAGGAACACCGAUGGCGAAGGCAGCCCCCUGGGUCAAGAUUGACGCUCAUGCACGAAAGCGUGGGGAGCAAACAGG
Molecule: ribosomal RNA, 253 nt
Filed under: uncultured bacterium
Lineage: Bacteria
Description: partial 16S ribosomal RNA
Rfam family: Bacterial small subunit ribosomal RNA
Source: RNAcentral